AAUAGAUUAAGUUUGAUCCUGGCUUAGGAUGAACGCUGGUAGUAUGCUUAACACAUGCGAGUCGAAUGAUGGUAACAUCAUGGCGAACGGGUGAGUACAAAAUAAGAAUCUGCCUUUUAGUUGGGUUAAAUACCUGAUGUACAGAAAGAUCCACGAUCGCUAAGAGAAGAGCUUAUUUAAGAUUAGGUUGUUGGUAGGGUAAAGGCCUACCAAGCCGACUAUCUUUAGCUGGUCUGAAAGGACGGUCAGCCACACUGGGACUGAGACAAGGCCCAGGCUUCAAACCGAAGCCAGCAGUGAGGAAUUUUGGACAAUGAGCGAAAGCUUGAUCCAGCAAUACUACGUGGGGGAAGAAGGCUCAAUUGGUCGUAAACCCCUUUCAUUAGGGAGGAUAAAGACAGUACCUAAAGAAGAAGCUCCGGCCAACUUCGUGCCAGCAGCCGCGGUAAUACGAAGGGAGCGAGCGUUAUCCGGAUUGAUUGGGCGUAAAGGGUCCGUAGGCGGCCUUGAGUAGUCAAAAGUAAAAGGUUAAAGCUCAACUUUAAAAUUGCUUUUAAAAAAAACGUCAAGGCUUGAGUUUGAAAGAGGAUAGCAGAAUUUUAUAUGGAGGGGUGAAAUCCUAAGAUAUAUGAAGGAAUACCAACGGCGAAGGCAGCUAUCUGGGUCAAUACUGACGCUGAGGGACGAAAGCACGGGUAGCAAAAAGGAUUUGAUACCCUCUUAGUCCGUGCCGUAAACGAUGAGUGCUCGUGCUCAGACGUAAGAUUUGGGCACUUAGGUAACCCAUUAAGCACUCCGCCUGAGAAGUACGAUCGCAAGAUUGGAACUCAAAGGAAUUGGCGGGGGUUCAUACAAGUGGUGGAACAUGUGGUUUAAUGCGAUAAUCCGCGCGAAACCUUACCAGUUCUAGACAUUUUCUUUUUUUUUUAAGAUUAAAAAGAUAAUCAGGUGUUGCAUGGCUGUCGUCAGCUCGUGUUGUGAAAUGUUUGGUUAAGUCCUUUAACGAGCGCAACCCUUGUACUUAGUUGACUUCGGUGACUCUAAGUAGACUGCCCACUAGGAUAGUGGGAGAAAGGUAAGGAUGACGUCAAGUCCUCAUGGCCCUUAUGAACUGGGCUACACACGUGUUACAAUGGUAAGAACAAUGAGAAGCGAUCUUGUAAAAGUGAGCAAACCUAUAAAUCUUAUCUUAGUUCGGAUUGUGGGCUGCAACUCGCCCACAUGAAGUUGGAAUCACUAGUAAUCGCAAAUCAUCACGUUGCGGUGAAUAUGUACCUGAACCUUGCACACACCGCCCGUCACAUGCCGGAAGUAGAUUUUACCUGAAAAGUGGUUUGAACGACUUAACCCCUUGGAGAUGUUCGCGUGAGCGAAUCCACCUAGGGGGGCAAUCGAGCAACCAAACUAAGGAGAGGUCUGUAACUGGGAUGAAGUCGUAACAAGGUAGUCGUACGGGAACGUGCGUCUGGAAGCAUUA
This 1477-nucleotide ribosomal RNA is filed under the name Heterosigma akashiwo. RNAcentral describes it as "small ribosomal RNA subunit RNA". It matches the Rfam family "Bacterial small subunit ribosomal RNA". The record is from RNAcentral. Lineage: Eukaryota; Raphidophyceae; Chattonellales; Chattonellaceae.